AACUUCGUCUAUUAUCAUUGUCACUACUUGUCUUUUCCCGUCAAACUAUUGUAGUGUUCCUCUAAAUUUUAGUCUAAACUCAUAUUCUAUAAUAUACUCGGUUUAAUGUCUACUUGUCCUUAAUCCCUUUUUUUCAAGUGCUCUAUUUCUUAAACUUAUUGUUAACUUCUUACAGAUUUUCUCUAAUCGAAACUAUACAAUCCGUGCAAAAAUCAAGAUUGCAAAUAGCAUGCACUAUGGACCUAUGGUACCUCACCUUGUAUUUACCUCAUCCAUUAAUUAUCUUAUUAUAUCGUUUGGAAUAUAAUUUUUUUUUUUUUUUUUCGAGGAAGGGAAAAUCGUCUAUUCUACGUUUAUGGUUUUAACCAUUUUAUGAGUAAUGAUGACGCCUAAGAAUUCUCGGUUGUAUUAUUGUACACUAGUAUUAUACAGCGUGUUCAACGUAAUAUAAGACAUUCACUU
Non-coding RNA from Cinara cedri, 462 nucleotides. The record is from the annotation of a GenBank genome assembly. Lineage: Eukaryota; Metazoa; Arthropoda; Insecta; Hemiptera; Aphididae.